Molecule: transfer RNA, 69 nt
Filed under: Isocapnia anguis
Lineage: Eukaryota; Metazoa; Arthropoda; Insecta; Plecoptera; Capniidae
Description: tRNA-Gln
Source: RNAcentral
UAUUCCUUAGUGUAUGGUGCACCAAAGUUUUUGAUACUUUAAGGGAUAGUUCAAAUCUAUUAGGAAUAA